AGUGAACGCUGGCGGUAGGCCUAACACAUGCAAGUCGAACGGCAGCACAGUAAGAGCUUGCUCUUACGGGUGGCGAGUGGCGGACGGGUGAGGAAUACAUCGGAAUCUACUUUUUCGUGGGGGAUAACGUAGGGAAACUUACGCUAAUACCGCAUACGACCUACGGGUGAAAGCAGGGGAUCUUCGGACCUUGCGCGAUUGAAUGAGCCGAUGUUGGAUUACCUAGUUGGCGGGGUAAAGGCCCACCAAGGCGACGAUCCGUAGCUGGUCUGAGAGGAUGACCAGCCACACUGGAACUGAGACACGGUCCAGCCUCCUACGGGAGGCAGCCGUGGGGAAUAUUGGACAAUGGGCGCAAGCCUGAUCCAGCCAUACCGCGUGGGUGAAGAAGGCCUUCGGGUUGUAAAGCCCUUUUGUUGGGAAAAAAAAGCAGCAGGUUAAUACCCCGCUGUUCUGACGGUACCCAAAGAAUAAGCACCGGCUAACUUCGUG
RNAcentral lists this ribosomal RNA (492 nucleotides) under uncultured bacterium. RNAcentral's name for it is "partial 16S ribosomal RNA". It matches the Rfam family "Bacterial small subunit ribosomal RNA", at positions 29 to 507 of the family's 1533-position model. The record is from RNAcentral.